UGCAGUCGAGCGGGCACUUCGGUGUCAGCGGCAGACGGGUGAGUAACGCGUGGGAACGUACCUUUUGGUUCGGAACAACACAGGGAAACUUGUGCUAAUACCGGAUAAGCCCUUACGGGGAAAGAUUUAUCGCCGAAAGAUCGGCCCGCGUCUGAUUAGCUAGUUGGUGAGGUAACGGCUCACCAAGGCGACGAUCAGUAGCUGGUCUGAGAGGAUGAUCAGCCACAUUGGGACUGAGACACGGCCCAAACUCCUACGGGAGGCAGCAGUGGGGAAUAUUGGACAAUGGGGGAAACCCUGAUCCAGCCAUGCCGCGUGAGUGAUGAAGGCCCUAGGGUUGUAAAGCUCUUUUGUGCGGGAAGAUAAUGACGGUACCGCAAGAAUAAGCCCCGGCUAACUUCGUGCCAGCAGCCGCGGUAAUACGAAGGGGGCUAGCGUUGCUCGGAAUCACUGGGCGUAAAGGGUGCGUAGGCGGGUCUUUAAGUCAGAGGUGAAAGCCUGGAGCUCAACUCCAGAACUGCCUUUGAUACUGAGGAUCUCGAGUUCGGGAGAGGUGAGUGGAACUGCGAGUGUAGAGGUGAAAUUCGUAGAUAUUCGCAAGAACACCAGUGGCGAAGGCGGCUCACUGGCCCGAUACUGACGCUGAGGCA
RNAcentral lists this ribosomal RNA (650 nucleotides) under uncultured bacterium. RNAcentral's name for it is "bacterial SSU rRNA". It matches the Rfam family "Bacterial small subunit ribosomal RNA", at positions 56 to 753 of the family's 1533-position model. The record is from RNAcentral.